RNAcentral lists this ribosomal RNA (397 nucleotides) under uncultured bacterium. Its description in RNAcentral is "partial 16S ribosomal RNA". It matches the Rfam family "Bacterial small subunit ribosomal RNA", at positions 523 to 918 of the family's 1533-position model. The record is from RNAcentral.
AUACGUAGGGGGCGAGCGUUGUCCGGAAUGAUUGGGCGUAAAGGGCGCGUAGGCGGCCCGGUAAGUCUGGAGUGAAAGUCCUGUUUUUAAGAUGGGAAUUGCUUUGGAUACUGUCGGGCUUGAGUGCAGGAGAGGUAAGUGGAAUUCCCAGUGUAGCGGUGAAAUGCGUAGAGAUUGGGAGGAACACCAGUGGCGAAGGCGACUUACUGGACUGUAACUGACGCUGAGGCGCGAAAGUGUGGGGAGCAAACAGGAUUAGAUGCCCUGGUAGUCCACACUGUAAACGAUGAAUGCUAGGUGUAGGGGGUAUCGACCCCUUCUGUGCCGCAGUCAACACAAUAAGCAUUCCGCCUGGGGAGUACGGCUGCAAGGUUGAAACUCAAAUGAAUUGACGGGG